UAGGGAAUCUUCCGCAAUGGGCGAAAGCCUGACGGAGCAACGCCGCGUGAGUGAUGAAGGUCUUCGGAUCGUAAAACUCUGUUAUUAGGGAAGAACAAAUGUGUAAGUAACUAUGCACGUCUUGACGGUACCUAAUCAGAAAGCCACGGCUAACUACGUGCCAGCAGCCGCGGUAAUACGUAGGUGGCAAGCGUUAUCCGGAAUUAUUGGGCGUAAAGCGCGCGUAGGCGGGUUUUUAAGUCUGAUGUGAAAGCCCACGGCUCAACCGUGGAGAGUCAUUGGAAACUGGAAAACUUGAGUGCAGAAGAGGAAAGUGGAAUUCCAUGUGUAGCGGUGAAAUGCGCAGAGAUAUGGAGGAACACCAGUGGCGAAGGCGACUUUCUGGUCUGUAACUGACGCUGAUGUGCGAAAGCGUGGGGAUCAAACAGG
RNAcentral lists this ribosomal RNA (429 nucleotides) under Actinomycetes bacterium. RNAcentral's name for it is "Actinobacteria bacterium partial 16S ribosomal RNA". It matches the Rfam family "Bacterial small subunit ribosomal RNA", at positions 355 to 776 of the family's 1533-position model. The record is from RNAcentral. Lineage: Bacteria; Bacillati; Actinomycetota; Actinomycetes.